RNAcentral lists this ribosomal RNA (433 nucleotides) under uncultured bacterium. RNAcentral's name for it is "partial 16S ribosomal RNA". It matches the Rfam family "Bacterial small subunit ribosomal RNA", at positions 29 to 507 of the family's 1533-position model. The record is from RNAcentral.
AACGAACGCUGGCGGCAUGCCUAACACAUGCAAGUCGAACGAGACCUUCGGGUCUAGUUGCGCACGUGUGCGUAACGCGUGGUAACCUGCCCUUAGGUUCGGAAUAACUCCCCGAAGGGUGUGCUAAUACCGGAUAAUGUCUUCGGACCAAAGAUUUAUCGCCUUUGGAUGGGCCCGCGUUGGUUUAGCUGGUUGGUAGGGUAAAAGCCUACCAAGGCGACGAUCCAUAGCUGGUCGGAGAGGAUGAUCCGCCACACUGGGACUGAGACACGGCCCAGACUGCUACGGGAGGCAGCAGUGGGGAAUAUUGGAGAAUGGGCGAAAGCCUGAUCCAGCAAUGCCGCGGGAGUGAUGAAGGCCUUAGGGUUGUAAAGCUCUUUUACCCGGGAUGAUAAUGACAGUACCGGGAGAAUAAGCUCCGGCUAACUCCGUG